UGAGUUCGAAGCCCGACUAGU
This 21-nucleotide unclassified non-coding RNA is filed under the name Mus musculus (house mouse). RNAcentral describes it as "oocyte_clustered_small_RNA7014". The record is from RNAcentral. Lineage: Eukaryota; Metazoa; Chordata; Mammalia; Rodentia; Muridae.